RNAcentral lists this ribosomal RNA (425 nucleotides) under uncultured bacterium. Its description in RNAcentral is "bacterial SSU rRNA". It matches the Rfam family "Bacterial small subunit ribosomal RNA", at positions 354 to 796 of the family's 1533-position model. The record is from RNAcentral.
GUGAGGAAUUUUGCGCAAUGGGGGCAACCCUGACGCAGCGACGCCGCGUGGAGGACGAAGUCUUUCGGGAUGUAAACUCCUGUCAGUGGGGACGAUAAUGACGGUACCCACAGAGGAAGCACCGGCUAACUCCGUGCCAGCAGCCGCGGUAAGACGGAGGGUGCAAGCGUUGUUCGGAAUUACUGGGCGUAAAGCGUAUGUAGGCGGCAAGUUAAGUUCAAUGUUAAAGCCCACGGCUCAACCGAGGAGAUGCAUUGAAUACUGGCUAGCUAGAGGGUGUUAGAGGAAGACGGAAUUCCCAGUGUAGCGGUGAAAUGCGUAGAUAUUGGGAGGAACAUCGGUAGCGAAAGCGGUCUUCUGGGACAUACCUGACGCUGAGGUACGAAAGCGUGGGGAGCAAACGGGAUUAGAAACCCGAGUAGUCC